GAUGAACGCUGGCGGCGUGCCUAAUACAUGCAAGUCGAGCGAACAGACGAGGAGCUUGCUCCUCUGACGUUAGCGGCGGACGGGUGAGUAACACGUGGAUAACCUACCUAUAAGACUGGGAUAACUUCGGGAAACAGGAGCUAAUACCGGAUAAUAUAUUUAACCGCAUUGUUCAAUAGUGAAAGACGGUUUUGCUGUCACUUAUAGAUGGAUCCGCGCCGCAUUAGCUAGUUGGUAAGGUAACGGCUUACCAAGGCAACGAUGCGUAGCCGACCUGAGAGGGUGAUCGGCCACACUGGAACUGAGACACGGUCCAGACUCCUACGGGAGGCAGCAGUAGGGAAUCUUCCGCAAUGGGCGAAAGCCUGACGGAGCAACGCCGCGUGAGUGAUGAAGGUCUUCGGAUCGUAAAACUCUGUUAUUAGGGAAGAACAAAUGUGUAAGUAACUAUGCACGUCUUGACGGUACCUAAUCAGAAAGCCACGGCUAACUCCGUG
Molecule: ribosomal RNA, 497 nt
Filed under: uncultured bacterium
Lineage: Bacteria
Description: partial 16S ribosomal RNA
Rfam family: Bacterial small subunit ribosomal RNA
Source: RNAcentral